GAUGAACGCUGGCGGCGUGCCUAACACAUGCAAGUCGAGCGGAGAAAUCAGAAGGAACCUUCGGGGGAAAUCAGAUGGAUCAGCGGCGGACGGGUGAGUAACGCGUGGGUAAUCUGCCGACUGCAGGGGAACAACACUUAGAAAUCGGUGCUAAUGCCCCAUAAGCUUACAGUAUCGCAUGGUACGGUAAGAAAAGACUUAUCGGCAGUCGAGGAGCCCGCGUCUGAUUAGUUAGUCGGCAGGGUAACGGCCUACCAAGACGACGAUCAGUAGCCGGCCUGAGAGGGCGAACGGCCACACUGGGACUGAGACACGGCCCAGACUCCUACGGGAGGCAGCAGUGGGGAAUAUUGCACAAUGGGGGAAACCCUGAUGCAGCAACGCCGCGUGAAGGAAGAAGGUUCUCGGAUCGUAAACUUCUAUCAACGGGGAAGAAAAGAAUGACGGUACCCGAGUAAGAAGCCCCGGCUAACUACGUGCCAGCAGCCGCGGUAAAAC
This 498-nucleotide ribosomal RNA is filed under the name uncultured bacterium. RNAcentral describes it as "bacterial SSU rRNA". It matches the Rfam family "Bacterial small subunit ribosomal RNA", at positions 28 to 526 of the family's 1533-position model. The record is from RNAcentral.